UUGCCAAUCAUGCAUAGCAUGACAAUGUUCCUCCCCCGUUGCGGGGACAAGCCCUAUGAGUUCGACCUAGGUCUGGUGAAGAGCCAAAACCUGGGCCUCAGUACCGCAGCUUGGCGCGUCGUCAGCAGCAAGAUGGAAGAAAUAGGAGAUAUGAAAGGUUGGAGACUGUACUUGCACAUAGACGAAGAGUCGUACAAGUACGUCCGAGUAGCGAGCUUCCGCCUGUUUUACAGGUUCAGCACGGUGCAAGGCAGCAGACAAGUCUGCGACUCAACAAAGCAGGAGUAUCGUAAAACAGGCAGCGACUGUAACGGCCCCGGAGGUGGAAAGUAUGCAGGUGGACGAGGUUGCGAAUCAGCCCAGCAAGAGCAGGGCUGGGCAGGCUAAGCCUGCGGCGACCCCCAAAGUUCCUGCUGAUAGUUCCUGCGGCAGGGAGCAGAGCUACCCUCCACCCAGUAAUUCCUCGAGGGACUAGGAGACCCACUGGAUGGCAGCGCGGUUGACGUUGGGGAUGAGGAUCUGCACCUCCUCAAACCACUAUUAUAGUGGCCGUCAACACGGAAGUCGCCCAGGUGAACCUGCAUUACGCGGCGACAGCUUCAGCUGUCAUAACGAGCAGGUUCACAGCGGAUAAAUUGGGCAUCCUGCUGAUCCAAGAGCCUUGGGUCCAUAGAGGAGAGGUUAAAAGCCUCAAGACGGAGUGCAAUAAGGUAAUCUGGGAUCUAUCUAGCGAGAGACCUAGAACUUCCAUAGUGGUCCGGAAUAAUAUUGAAUUCUUCUGCAUUUCAGAGUUCCUGACGCAGGAUCUGGUAGCGGUGUAAGCUAGGGACUUCGAAGGCAAGGACUUCGUCCUGGCUUCAGCCUAUUUUCCAGGGGAGGCAUCCACGGCACCCCCGGAGGUGGUGGAAAGGCUGGUGGAGAACUGCAGAAGAUACAGGCCUCCCCUAAUUAUUGGCUGUGACGCAAGCGCCCACCACUUGGAAUGGGGCAGUCCAAACUGCAACGCAAGAGGUGAGUCUCUUUUAGAGUACAUAUUAGGUAAUAGCUUAGCGAUAGAGAAUGUAAGGUGUGAACCCACAUUCAUAACCAUAAGCAGUAGGGAGGUGUUGCACAUCACCUUGAACGAUGAGCCCGCGAACGAAUUGGUCUCACAAUGGAGAGUCUCAACGGAGCCCUCCUUGUCAGGCCACCGGAUUGGCCUAUCUUCUUGCGCUAACUGCCGGUUCUGCGACAGGGAGCCUGAAACACCGGAACACCUGCUGAUCGACUGCACAGCAGUCUGUAGACGCAGGAUUAAGGCCCUUGGAUCCAUUUCCUGAUAGGGAUCGCAUCGCUUCACUAGCACCCGGAAAAAUAUUGGACUUCAUCAAUGUGCUGGGGCUAAGUGAGUCUUUGUGAU
This is a long non-coding RNA of Bactrocera neohumeralis, 1399 nucleotides long. RefSeq lists it as uncharacterized. The transcript has 3 exons. NCBI's taxonomy places the organism in Eukaryota, Metazoa, Arthropoda, Insecta, Diptera, Tephritidae. The record is from RefSeq and is a predicted model, not a curated record.